RNAcentral lists this long non-coding RNA (565 nucleotides) under Mytilus galloprovincialis (Mediterranean mussel). The record is from RNAcentral. Lineage: Eukaryota; Metazoa; Mollusca; Bivalvia; Mytilida; Mytilidae.
CCCUUUUAAUACUAGUCCAAACUUUUGUUAACCGUAUUACAAAUGUAAACGCCCCCUCUUUUCCCUUAUAACCAUUCUUACUCAGUAAACAUGGUCUUCUUUACCCGUAAGACCAGUCAGACUAUGUCUGCAUUCCUCCUUUUCCUUUCCUAUAUGACAAUUUUGACUCAUUUAUCGUCCGGUCUCAAUACUCUUGUAACUGUCUGAAUCAGUUCUCAUACUUUCUUAUCCUCUGACCAGUCUUUCGCAGUUGUGAACCCUCCUCCUUAACCUUUUGAUUAGUUUGAAUCAGUACUGAUCCCUCCUACUUUCCGUUAUGACCUGUCUGAAUCAAGACCUGUGAUAUCCUAGAUCUUUUUGACUUUGGAGGGUAUGAUUCCCAAUGUGUCAACAAACGACAACCAAUGAAUACCAUACUCAUAGCUGGUACAUACGAAAUGUGACCGAUUUCAAUAUUAUUGCGGUCAUAGGGCUGUCACAAUGAAUUUUCCUUUAAAAAUUAUUGUCAUUGAUUUACCAGGACGACAGCAAGUACAUACCCGUAAAAACACCAAAAACCCUUAAG